Haliotis rubra (blacklip abalone) is the source of this 1177-nucleotide long non-coding RNA. RefSeq lists it as uncharacterized. Lineage: Eukaryota; Metazoa; Mollusca; Gastropoda; Lepetellida; Haliotidae. The transcript is spliced from 2 exons. The record is from RefSeq and is a predicted model, not a curated record.
UAUAUUACUUUGUUUAACAUAUACACUUACCAGACCAUCAUGUUUGUUGUGGCACAUACACAGUCGCCGAGUGUGCUGGGAUCUGGUGGACAGAUGGGCGUGAUGUCUGAUAGUUGUGACCUCCCUACGGUUCCUGAAACUCCGUCGACAGAGAUUAUACAUGGAGUCUGACCAAUACCAAAAUCUUCCAAUGUGCCAGAGUCACCAGCUGCGAUUCUCACUCAAAGAGAUCACAGUCUACAGAAGUGUUCAAGACUUGAGCAACAAGUUGACACAAGUUUCCUGGAUGUGUCUCACUAAGAUGAGACACAGAUCAACGCUUCCAGGAUAGAUGAGACAUUUUUUGCUGCAGCAGAGACUGAGCACAAACCUACAAAUAAACCAUCUUUACAGUGUGGGAUCUGAGGGAAGAUUGUCUAGACCUAAGGCUCCUUGAACCUGCAAGUAAGGCGCCACACUAAAGAUGUCAAAUUCUCAUGUGAAUUGUGUGGGAAGUCUUUCCUUAUCAACCAAACGCUGAAGUUUGCUAAAGUACACAAACAGACUGGUGUUGUCAAGUGCAAGGUUUGCAGUAAAGUUACAUUUCGGGGUAUCUGGUAUGCACGAGCAUAUGAAGGAGCAUGUGACAAGUCUUUCUCUACCCAAAAAAAAGUGAAGCCAAAGAAUUUGAAUGUGGUGAUUGUGAGAAGUGGUUCGCUUCCAAGGGAAAAAAUCCACAGUCUGCUCCAUGAUGAGCAUGCACCCAAAUACAGGUUGUGGUAAACUCAUAACAAUCUGUCAUGACAUUUCUUUAUUGGUAGAAUGAAUGACCAUGGCCAGUUGUCAGAUUCCCAACUACGUAAUUUGGAAACCCGAAUUAUAUUUGCCACUAUAACCAUACCACCUUUGCUUAUUUGAUGUUCAUUUGUUUAGAUUUACUCAUAGAAUUUCCUCAAAGUUCUUUUUCUGGUGUUAGAGGUUGUAAAUUCUUGUUGAUGUUGGAAAAUACUUGUGCAUGCUUGUAAUGUUUGUUCAUGUGACUUUGUGUUCUGGAAGUAGUAGGAAGGAUGCUUGCCAGGCUAACCAGGUUAGCUAUGUGAUAAUGGCAAAGAUAACUAACAAAUAAGUGCAAUGAUCUGUAUUUUAAUGUUGUUUUUAUCAACCAUGUUAACUUCUAAUAAAGAUAUAUUUACAGCCA